This 741-nucleotide ribosomal RNA is filed under the name uncultured bacterium. RNAcentral's name for it is "bacterial SSU rRNA". It matches the Rfam family "Bacterial small subunit ribosomal RNA", at positions 8 to 796 of the family's 1533-position model. The record is from RNAcentral.
AGAGUUUGAUCCUGGCUCAGAACGAACGCUGGCGGCAGGCUUAACACAUGCAAGUCGAGCGCGUAGCAAUACGAGCGGCAGACGGGUGAGUAACGCGUGGGAAUCUACCUUUUGCUACGGAAUAACUCAGGGAAACUUGAGCUAAUACCGUAUGUGCCCUUUGGGGGAAAGAUUUAUCGGCAAAGGAUGAGCCCGCGUUGGAUUAGGUAGUUGGUGGGGUAAUGGCCUACCAAGCCGACGAUCCAUAGCUGGUCUGAGAGGAUGAUCAGCCACAUUGGGACUGAGACACGGCCCAAACUCCUACGGGAGGCAGCAGUGGGGAAUAUUGGACAAUGGGCGCAAGCCUGAUCCAGCCAUGCCGCGUGAGUGAUGAAGGCCCUAGGGUUGUAAAGCUCUUUCACCGGUGAAGAUAAUGACGGUAACCGGAGAAGAAGCCCCGGCUAACUUCGUGCCAGCAGCCGCGGUAAUACGAAGGGGGCUAGCGUUGUUCGGAAUUACUGGGCGUAAAGCGCACGUAGGCGGACAUUUAAGUCAGGGGUGAAAUCCCGGGGCUCAACCCCGGAACUGCCUUUGAUACUGGGUGUCUUUGAGUUCGAGAGAGGUGAGUGGAAUUCCGAGUGUAGAGGUGAAAUUCGUAGAUAUUCGGAGGAACACCAGUGGCGAAGGCGGCUCACUGGCUCGAUACUGACGCUGAGGUGCGAAAGCGUGGGGAGCAAACAGGAUUAGAUACCCUAGUAGUCC